Molecule: ribosomal RNA, 155 nt
Filed under: uncultured eukaryote
Lineage: Eukaryota
Description: partial small subunit ribosomal RNA
Rfam family: Eukaryotic small subunit ribosomal RNA
Source: RNAcentral
CCCUGCCAUUUGUACACACCGCCCGUCGCUCCUACCGAUUUCGAGUGAUCCGGUGAACCUUUUGGACUGCGCGGGGCCCCGUGCUCCGUGCGGAAAAUCAAGUAAACCAUAUCACUUAGAGGAAGGAGAAGUCGUAACAAGGUUUCCGUAGGUGA